AUCGUUUUUCAUUAUUCAUUCAUGUUUCAUUUUUCAGAGAACAUACCAAAACCUAGCGUUUUCUCUCACAAGUCAUUUUUUCCCACCAUGAUUCGAUCUCAAUCUUUGCAUCAUUUACUUCAAUCUGUAACUAAUUUCUUCGAUCUAUAAGUAUUUUCUUUCUUUAAUCUCAACUGUGAGCCAUCUUUUUCUUGAAUCUUAAACUGUACCUUUUUGUAUUUCGUCUUGUAAUAGUAGAAAAAAGAUGGAAACCAUUUUGUUUCCUCAUCAGUAAAGAAGAGUAAUAUCAACAGUGAAGACGUUUUAAAUCCCCUUUUAUUUAAUCAUCAGUAGUAUUAUCGGUGGAUUUCUCUAUGCCAAGCAUAUGGGUAAUGAUAUGUGGGAUGUGGCUAUUGAUAGAAGGUACAAGAAGCUGGUUGAGAAAUUGCUAAUGUUGAGCAGUAUUAGGCGAGAUUUGAUUGUAGGUGUAGAUUUUGAUUUUGUAUUGACGGACUUACUAUUUCAUUUUCUUGAACAUCAGCAGUGGAAUUGAUGAUCUAAAUGUAAGAUUGUUAGGGUUUCAAUUGACUUGAUCUAAAAUGUCUUGGUGGUAUUAGAUCCAAGUAACCACGGAGUGAUGCAUUUUUGCAAGGUAGUUUAUAUUUGAAGCAAGUAGAGAGACAAACACGUCGAUCUGUGUUUGUGUGGCGGCUUCAACGAAAAAGCUGAAUUAACAGCUAAGAGAGCUUGUCAAACAGAGAAAAGAUGGGUAUACAAAUGCUUUGCUCUGUAGUCUAUAAAGUGAUGAAAGUCAUCAUUUUUGAUUGGUUCGCAUGGAUUCAUCACUAUUGGUUUUUGACUAAGGAUGGUAUUGAGUUCUUGAGGACUUAUUUGUAUCUACAAUCUGGGACUGUGCCUAAUAUUUUGAAAGUUUGAAGAAAGCGGAUCAAACUGGUAAAGCACCACAGGGUGCUUUUAUUUACUGCUUACUUGGUCAAAGCAUUUGGUCAAUUGGUAGUGUUCUUGAGUUAAAGUGUUGGUUUCAAAUCUUAAUUUUUGAUGUUCUUGUAAUAAGUUAACUAUUUACUGUCCACAAUCCUGUUUUUGUUGUUCAAAUGCACAUGUUAGAUUAUUUUUUAUGAUGUGAGCUGUUGUAUCUUAUAAUACCCUGUUUAUGGAAGUUCAUAUUUGUUGCAGAUGACACAAGUAAUAUCCCUGACCAAAUGUCAAUCCGCAACCUGAUCCCGCAGCAGUGGAGAAUUAUCAAUUUGUUCGGUAUUUUCGAUGGCGUAGGCAUCGAGAUGCUGCUAAGUGCAGGUGGAAGUGGAGUCCUGGUUCAACCGAUGUAGAGGUGGAUUCAAGGUUUGAGCAUAGAACUGGCAAGGGACGCAGCUAUGGACCUCCAUACGAAUGACAACCAACGAGGUUGAUUGCUUCCCAGGGAAGCUGCUGGUGUUAAAAUUGCUAGUGGAGCAGCGGAAGCUCCAGCAAUAGAAGCUGCAAAGUGAAUGGGACCAACCUGCUGUGUCUGUUCAUGUCAAGAUGUUAUUAUUGUGUGCAACUGCAAGAUUAUGAGAAGUACGCAUUCUGUCUAUUACAUGUAUCUUGUUCAUCGGGGCUCCUUUACAUGUUCAAGUAUGUCAUUUCAACCAAGAUGGAAGUGCUUAAUUUAAGUCUAAGAGGCCCUAAUUACUCAGCUCUUCCUUUUGCUAAGGAUUAAUAUCUCAAGAAUAUGGAGCACAUAAUCUUGUUGAGCUUAUUCACUUCAAACUGUUUUGUAAAGAUGGACAUAGGAGAAUGACCUGGGCUACUUAUGAUUUACGUUUUCCCUGAAUUAUAAAUUGUGUAUCGAAAAGAUCAUAUUGCAAUUAUGUUUCAGGUUUAAAUUUAAUUGUAUCGCAAGCCUGUAAACUGAGAUCCAUGAUGACCUGUAUCGCAGGCCUGUAAACUAAGAUCCCAGGUCCAUGAGAAUGACCUGGGUUGCCUAUUUUUUCUAA
Long non-coding RNA from Papaver somniferum (opium poppy), 1976 nucleotides. RefSeq lists it as uncharacterized. The transcript has 12 exons. The record is from RefSeq and is a predicted model, not a curated record. Lineage: Eukaryota; Viridiplantae; Streptophyta; Magnoliopsida; Ranunculales; Papaveraceae.